RNAcentral lists this ribosomal RNA (590 nucleotides) under Escherichia coli. RNAcentral's name for it is "bacterial LSU rRNA". It matches the Rfam family "Bacterial large subunit ribosomal RNA", at positions 486 to 1076 of the family's 2925-position model. The record is from RNAcentral. Lineage: Bacteria; Pseudomonadati; Pseudomonadota; Gammaproteobacteria; Enterobacterales; Enterobacteriaceae.
GAUAGUGAACCAGUACCGUGAGGGAAAGGCGAAAAGAACCCCGGCGAGGGGAGUGAAAAAGAACCUGAAACCGUGUACGUACAAGCAGUGGGAGCACGCUUCGGCGUGUGACUGCGUACCUUUUGUAUAAUGGGUCAGCGACUUAUAUUCUGUAGCAAGGUUAACCGAAUAGGGGAGCCGAAGGGAAACCGAGUCUUAACUGGGCGUUAAGUUGCAGGGUAUAGACCCGAAACCCGGUGAUCUAGCCAUGGGCAGGUUGAAGGUUGGGUAACACUAACUGGAGGACCGAACCGACUAAUGUUGAAAAAUUAGCGGAUGACUUGUGGCUGGGGGUGAAAGGCCAAUCAAACCGGGAGAUAGCUGGUUCUCCCCGAAAGCUAUUUAGGUAGCGCCUCGUGAAUUCAUCUCCGGGGGUAGAGCACUGUUUCGGCAAGGGGGUCAUCCCGACUUACCAACCCGAUGCAAACUGCGAAUACCGGAGAAUGUUAUCACGGGAGACACACGGCGGGUGCUAACGUCCGUCGUGAAGAGGGAAACAACCCAGACCGCCAGCUAAGGUCCCAAAGUCAUGGUUAAGUGGGAAACGAUGU